RNAcentral lists this ribosomal RNA (795 nucleotides) under Triticum aestivum (bread wheat). Its description in RNAcentral is "partial small subunit ribosomal RNA". The record is from RNAcentral. Lineage: Eukaryota; Viridiplantae; Streptophyta; Magnoliopsida; Poales; Poaceae.
AUGCUGCUGGUCAGCCAGGCCGCCAACGGCUCCCUCUCCGCGCGGCGGCUGCCCUCCAAGCCGCUCGCCAGCCGCCGGGGCGCCAACCCCUACCCCCUCUUCGCCGGGCCCCGCGUCGCGCGCCGCCGCCUCGCGCUCUCCGGCGCCGCCGACGCGCGGGACGCGCCCCGCCGCGCCUCCGCCACCCACGCGGCCGCGGGCGAGGGCCCCUCCGGCUCCCCCGCCGCCGAGGACCCCGUCCUCCUCGGCGUCAGCGACGACCGCGUGCCCCUCGAGGGCGUCAUCCAGGUCGAGAGGCCCGGCCAGGCCGACGCCCAGUCCAAGCUCGUCUCCUACGCGAAGAUAGGGCUUCUGGCCGGAGGGGAUCUGCUCUGCCUCCUGGUCUUCUCCGCGAUUGGGAGGCUCAGCCAUGGCCUCCCCGUGCUUGACGCCGAGACCUUCAAGACGGCCGACCCGUUCAUUGCUGGUUGGUUGCUUAGCGCCUACCUCCUUGGCGGGUUUGGUGAUGAUGCCAAAGGAAGCAAUGGUGUUGGGAAUGCUGUAACUGUUGCAGCGAAAUCCUGGGCUGUUGGUAUACCGUUAGGAAUUGCCAUUCGUUCAGUGACCGCUGGUCAUAUUCCACAAAUUCCUUUCGUCUUUGUGGCCAUGGGAAGUACCGGGGUCUUGUUGACUGCAUGGCGUGCUCUGAUUUCCCAGGUUCUUUCCGCUGGACAGAGCAAGAAGGAUGAUGUAUACAAAAAGGGAAAUCCUUUUGAGCUUUUUGAGUUGCUCACAUCGCUGGUGCGGAGGUGGUGA